GGGUCAGUAGGUUGGUCGUGCCACCGGUACGUACUGGUCUCACUGAUUCCUCCUUCCUGAAGUACCGUAAUGCCAUUAAUUUGGUGUUGCGGGGAAACAGGACUGUUACUUUGAAAAAAUUAGAGUGUUUAAAGCAAGCUAAGGCUUGAAUACAUUAGCAUGGAAUAAUGAAAUAGGACGAUCGAUCCUAUUUUGUUGGUUUCUAGGAUUGACGUA
Molecule: ribosomal RNA, 216 nt
Filed under: Glomeromycotina sp.
Lineage: Eukaryota; Fungi; Glomeromycota
Description: partial small subunit ribosomal RNA
Rfam family: Eukaryotic small subunit ribosomal RNA (bases 40-216)
Source: RNAcentral